CCUACGGGCGGCAGCAGUGGGGGAUAUUGCACAAUGGGGGGAACCCUGAUGCAGCGACGCCGCGUGGGUGAAGGAGCGUUUCGGCGCGUAAAGCCCUAUCGGCAGGGAAGAAGAUGACGGUACCUGACCAAGAAGCCCCGGCUAACUACGUGCCAGCAGCCGCGGUAAUACGUAGGGGGCCAGCGUGAUCCGGAUUUACUGGGUGGAAAGGGGGCGCAGACGGCAAUGCAAGCCAGGAGUGAAAGCCCGGGGCCCAACCCCGGGACUGCUCUUGGAACUGCAUGGCUGGAGUGCAGGAGGGGCAGGCGGAAUGCCUAGUGGAGCGGUGAAAUGCGGAGAUAGUAGGAGGAACACCGGUGGCGAAGGCGGCCUGCUGGACUGUGACUGACGUUGAGGCCCGAAGGCGUGGGGAGCAAACAGGAGUAGAUACCCCUGUAGUC
This 440-nucleotide ribosomal RNA is filed under the name uncultured bacterium. RNAcentral describes it as "partial 16S ribosomal RNA". It matches the Rfam family "Bacterial small subunit ribosomal RNA", at positions 338 to 795 of the family's 1533-position model. The record is from RNAcentral.